UGUGGCUCUCUUCCGUCUGACUUCCUGCUCUGGGAAUCUGGCUGAGGGCAAUGUGACCUCGGCUAAGCCGGAGUGCCCUGUGCCCUACAGAAUUUCCAGGUGAGCUGGA
Sarcophilus harrisii (Tasmanian devil) is the source of this 109-nucleotide non-coding RNA. The record is from Rfam. Lineage: Eukaryota; Metazoa; Chordata; Mammalia; Dasyuromorphia; Dasyuridae.